UCAAAAAAGUGUGAAAUACAGAGUAACUGAGAUCUUCUUCAACCUAUCUUCUUCAACCUAAUUUCAGUUUUCUGGCGGAAAAACUUUGAUACAAUCAGCAAGUUUGGUUGGGAAACGUGAAUAUUAGAUUGAAAUCUCGUUUCCCAUUCGUUUCCGGGAUGAAUUCAGUUUCAAACACGUCUCCAUUUUUCUGAAACGGUUCCGAAACGCGUUUCCCGGUUUCCCCGUUCCAGGACGUUUCGGAAACGGUAAGUCGUGAUUUUUUGGCGUUUCCGUGCUUCGUAGCUUUUGACCCCUAAUUUCCCCGAAUUAGCAUGAAUUAACAAGAUUAGGGAUUACCCUUUUUUGAUUUGAAUCUAAGGAGCGAUGCUUCAAAAGCUAUCUCUCUCAUUUCGACCCAUGCGUCGAUUUUCUAUAGCUGCUCAAAAUCAUUAUUGUUCUUCCUCUAACCCCAUUGAUAUGCCAACAAUUAGCGGUUCAAGUAGUUGUAAUAGCGUUAAUCAUGAUACUAAUACCGGUGAUAAUUGUAGUUUAGUUGCUAAUUCAAGGAUUGAACCCAAGUUUGAAGAACCAGCUCUAAUUAAACUUAAGAAAGAGAGAGACCCAGAUAAGCUAUUUAAACUCUUCAAGGAUAAUUCUCACAAUCGUCUUGUUAUAGAAAAUAAGUAUGCGUUCGAGGAUACAGUUUCGCGGUUGGCGGGUGCUAAGAGGUAUGACUACAUUGAGCAUUUGCUUGAGCAUCAAAAGUCGUUGCCUCAAGGUAGGAGGGAGGGUUUUGUUGUUCGGGUUAUAAUGUUGUAUGGACGGGCCGGUAUGGUUAAACAAGCUGUCGAUACGUUCUACGGUAUGCAUUUGUUUGGUUGUAGAAGGACUGUUAAAUCACUCAAUGCUGCUCUCAAGGUUUUGAGUCAGACCCACAAUUUAGAGGCCAUAAAUUCAUUUCUUAAGGAGGUGCCUUGGGAGUAUGGGAUUCAGCUUGAUGUGAUUUCAGUUAAUAUUGUGAUUAAUGCCUUUUGUGGGAUGGGAAUUUUGGAUAAGGCUUAUUUAGUGAUGGUAGAGAUGGAGAAGGCAGGGAUAAAGCCUGAUGUUGUCUCCUAUACAACUCUUAUAUCAGCUUUCUACAAAUAUGGUCGUUGGGAGGUUGGAAAUGGACUGUGGAAUCUCAUGGUCUAUAAGAGAUGUUAUCCUAAUGUCGCUACGUUCAAUGCUAGGAUCCAAUUUUUAGUAAAUAAAGGGCGAGCAUGGCAAGCAAAUGACUUGCUCAGAUUGAUGGAAAAUAUAGAGCUGCAACCAGAUGAAGUUACUUAUAAUUUGGUAAUCAAAGGGUUUUUUCGGGCUGGCUUAUUUGAUAUGGCAAAAAAGGUUUAUUCCGCCUUACAUGGUCGGGGUUAUGAACCUAAUCUCAAGAUUUAUCAAACUAUGGUACAUUACUUAUGCAAGGCAGGGGAUUUUAAUUGUGCAUAUACCAUGUGCAAAGAAUGCUUGAAGAAAAAUUGGAUUAUGAAUGUAGAUACCAUUUGUACAUUACUUACUGGUUUAAAGAGUACUGGAAAGGUGGAAAAGGCUAAUAUUAUAUUUAGUUUGGUUCAAAAAAGACAUCCUCCCUUUCCUGCGAGGCAGCUGGAUACUUUUAAAGCUAUGUUAUCAAGACGCUGAAAUCUAGCAAGUUUAAGUAUAUUUAUCAUAUCAUCUCCCAAGCUGUAGUGGCUGAUUGGUGUUAUUGAAUUUAAAGGCACAAGGGGCUUUGUGUGGAGUCAGGCAUCUAAGGGACAAUAGUUCUUUGCUAUGAUCCAAUUUUCAGCUUCUGAUGAACCAACUGGUUAUGUGGAUAUUUCCUCCCUAUGUGGUAUGUGCUUAAAGGAAGUCCAUGGCAGUCCAUGACAGGAGUAACUUUAGAGGGUGUAAAAUGAUUCUAGAAAGCCCCUGACAGUCCAUGAAUGAAAUUGACAGUACUGGGAUACAUUGUCAAAUUGUUGCUCUGUUUGUGCUUCCGGUUUGUGCGGUAAGAAAGUGACUAUGAAAACAGUAGUAUGGUUUCACUACUUUUUACCUAUCUUGACUCAAGGAUUUUAAGUUCUCAUCUGAUACAGAUAGCUACACUGUCUUCCAGGUAUUCACUGUUUUCCAGCCUGCCUGUGAUUGGGCAUCAGUCUCUCAUUCUUCUCCUAUAGGAUGUUUUAUCCUGUGUUUUUCUGUAAGCCUCAAACAAGAAGGCAUAUGAGCAUAACUUUGAGAUGUUUCAAAGUUAUGGAUUCUUUCAAUACAUUUUUUAGAUUUAGUAUUCUUAAAAAUUGGUAUACACUGGAAAAAUACAAUACACCACUCUGUAAUUCUUUCCACUGGAUAGUUGAGUUUACUAGCAAAGACAAGUAACAAGUUGCAUUAGGCCUUAGAGUUUUGUCUCUUUGUCACAUCCCUUUCCUCUUCUGCUGUCUUGCUGUUUCUGCCUGUCUCCCUUACUUACUGGGACUUCGAAUUUUAUAAAGCUGUUGAAUUUGUGACUGACUGGUACUAGUAAGAUGUUACACAUACUCUUGGGAGAUUGAAAAUGCUCCAUUCUAAAGCCAAAAUGAGAAGAUACGUUGAUGUCAAAUGCUUGAAUUUGAUGCCUUGUGAGGUUUUAUGAGGUAGAUGUCUGAAGUCAAUGUUUUAUUUGCUCCCUCUGUACCUCACUACCUCCAGGUUUGGUAGUUCAUCUUCAUAUUGUAAUAAACUUCCAGACAUGUAAUUCAUCAGAAGCUCCAUCAGUUCAAAUUAUUCUAUUGCAGGCCAUGGAAAUCCUUUUUCUGUUACUCUGUACAAGAACAUUGGAUAAAUGAGUAAGGUGGGUGUAUUCAUUCCUGAACCGCUUGAUGAAAAUUUCAUGUUUCAUGCAGUUGUUUUGAUGUUUUAAAGUUUUGAACACGGCACCUUACACUGGAACAUAUCCAGAACAUGACACUUGUGGCCCUUGUAUUUUGCUUUUGAAGUCUAAGUUUCUUAAAAAAAGAAAAGAAAAAGACAUGCUCCCAUAACUCCUCCUCUGAUAAAUGUAAGUAUUGAAGAUGAACAACAUUCUGAAAUGUAUGGGUCUGUACAAGCUGGACAGUUGGAGUCUGGAAUGUGUUCAAGUCUACAGGUUGUCAGGAGAUUACCUUCUGUGACAUUUUGUUUAAGAUCAAGGGAUGACCUUCAUCUAACUCUGGUAGCUGGUAUGGCUCGUAGGACUCGAUAGUUCUCCAGGUUAUUUUUUUCUGUGAUCCCUCCUUGAUGAUCUCUUGGUACGGCAGUACGUGGCACUUUUACCAGACAGUUGAGUUGAUGUAGCAAAUCAAAUUACCAAAGGGGAUCACUCAUCAAUUAUGUUGUCAGAUUUGGGUUGCAAAAGCAUGAGCAGAGUAAACACAUUUGUUACUGGUAUUGUUUACAUUUAUUCUCAAGAAAGAGGUUUUCUCUUGUUCUA
Spinacia oleracea (spinach) is the source of this 3442-nucleotide RNA transcript. It is a transcript of the gene named heavy metal-associated isoprenylated plant protein 4, with no coding region annotated. NCBI's taxonomy places the organism in Eukaryota, Viridiplantae, Streptophyta, Magnoliopsida, Caryophyllales, Amaranthaceae. The transcript has 2 exons. The record is from RefSeq and is a predicted model, not a curated record.